UAUGUGAUCGUCUCUUGCAUAUCAAUAAGCGGAGGAAAAGAAACUAACAAGGAUUCCCCUAGUAACGGCGAGUGAAGCGGGAAGAGCUCAAAUUUGAAAUCUUAAAGGGUUUCCCUUUACGAAUUGUAGCUUAAAGAAGUGUUUUCUGUUGAGGUUUUGGUAAAAGUUCUUUGGAAUAGGACAUCAUAGAGGGUGAGAAUCCCGUAUUUGACCUUUACUUUCAACUUUGUGAUACACUUUCAAAGAGUCGGAUUGUUUGGGAAUGCAGUCCAAAAUGGGUGGUAAAUUUCAUCUAAAGCUAAAUAUUGGCGAGAGACCGAUAGCGAACAAGUACCGUGAGGGAAAGAUGAAAAGAACUUUGAAAAGAGAGUUAAACAGUACGUGAAAUUGUCAAAAGGGAAGCGUUUGACACCAGUGUUGUUUUUCUGAAAAUCAAUUAAAGAACUGUUUAUGCUAAGCUGUUUAGACUUUAUCAGCUAUACUGUUUAGUUUUGAGCUUUUCUUUAAUGCACUUUUCAGUUAACAAGUCAACAUCAAUUUCUUUUGCUGUAAAAAAGCUUGAGGAAGGUGGCUUGAGAUUCGUCUUAAGUGUUUAUAGCCUCUUGCCUAUGCAGUCGGAGAGAUUGAGGUCUGCAGCGUAGAUCCUUCGGGGCUAAAUGCAUUUGUGCUAAGUUAUAGCAUUUUAUAGACAACUUGUUGACUAUGAUUUGUCUUGUAGCUUACUCGCUUAUGUUAUUUUACCUACGCUUAGGAUGUUGAGUAGCGACAUACGCAC
This 775-nucleotide ribosomal RNA is filed under the name uncultured Neocallimastigales. Its description in RNAcentral is "partial large subunit ribosomal RNA". It matches the Rfam family "Eukaryotic large subunit ribosomal RNA", at positions 23 to 649 of the family's 3401-position model. Lineage: Eukaryota; Fungi; Neocallimastigomycota; Neocallimastigomycetes; Neocallimastigales. The record is from RNAcentral.